GACGAACGCUGGCGGCGUGCCUAAUACAUGCAAGUAGAACGCUGAAGGAGGAGCUUGCUUCUCUGGAUGAGUUGCGAACGGGUGAGUAACGCGUAGGUAACCUGCCUGGUAGCGGGGGAUAACUAUUGGAAACGAUAGCUAAUACCGCAUAAGAGUAGAUGUUGCAUGACAUUUGCUAAAAAGGUGCAAUUGCAUCACUACCAGAUGGACCUGCGUUGUAUUAGCUAGUUGGUGGGGUAACGGCUCACCAAGGCGACGAUACAUAGCCGACCUGAGAGGGGGAUCGGCCAAACUGGGACUGAGACACGGCCCAGACUCCUACGGGAGGCAGCAGUAGGGAAUCUUCGGCAAUGGACGGAAGUCUGACCGAGCAACGCCGCGUGAGUGAAGAAGGUUUUCGGAUCGUAAAGCUCUGUUGUAAGAGAAGAACGAGUGUGAGAGUGGAAAGUUCACACUGUGACGGUAUCUUACCAGAAAGGGACGGCUAACUACGUG
RNAcentral lists this ribosomal RNA (495 nucleotides) under uncultured bacterium. RNAcentral describes it as "partial 16S ribosomal RNA". It matches the Rfam family "Bacterial small subunit ribosomal RNA", at positions 28 to 507 of the family's 1533-position model. The record is from RNAcentral.